CCUACGGGUGGCAGCAGUGGGGAAUAUUGGACAAUGGGGGGAACCCUGAUCCAGCCAUGCCGCGUGUGUGAAGAAGGCCCUCGGGUUGUAAAGCACUUUCAGUGAGGAAGAACGCCUGGUGGUUAAUACCCAUCAGGAAAGACAUCACUCACAGAAGAAGCACCGGCUAACUCCGUGCCAGCAGCCGCGGUAAUACGGAGGGUGCGAGCGUUAAUCGGAAUUACUGGGCGUAAAGCGCGCGUAGGUGGCUUGAUAAGCCGGUUGUGAAAGCCCCGGGCUCAACCUGGGAACGGCAUCCGGAACUGUCAAGCUAGAGUGCAGGAGAGGAAGGUAGAAUUCCCGGUGUAGCGGUGAAAUGCGUAGAGAUCGGGAGGAAUACCAGUGGCGAAGGCGGCCUUCUGGACUGACACUGACACUGAGGUGCGAAAGCGUGGGUAGCAAACAGGAUUAGAUACCUUAGUAGUC
This 465-nucleotide ribosomal RNA is filed under the name Vreelandella stevensii. RNAcentral describes it as "partial 16S ribosomal RNA". It matches the Rfam family "Bacterial small subunit ribosomal RNA", at positions 338 to 795 of the family's 1533-position model. Lineage: Bacteria; Pseudomonadati; Pseudomonadota; Gammaproteobacteria; Oceanospirillales; Halomonadaceae. The record is from RNAcentral.